GACGCUGCCCUCUCACGGCAGAAACAGGGGUUCGAUUCCCCUACGGACUA
RNAcentral lists this transfer RNA (50 nucleotides) under Roseburia sp. CAG:309. It matches the Rfam family "tRNA", at positions 22 to 71 of the family's 71-position model. From Rfam's summary of the family: Transfer RNA (tRNA) molecules are approximately 80 nucleotides in length. Their secondary structure includes four short double-helical elements and three loops (D, anti-codon, and T loops). Further hydrogen bonds mediate the characteristic L-shaped molecular structure. tRNAs have two regions of fundamental functional importance: the anti-codon, which is responsible for specific mRNA codon recognition, and the 3' end, to which the tRNAs corresponding amino acid is attached (by aminoacyl-tRNA synthetases). tRNAs cope with the degeneracy of the genetic code in two manners: having more than one tRNA (with a specific anti-codon) for a particular amino acid; and 'wobble' base-pairing, i.e. permitting non-standard base-pairing at the 3rd anti-codon position. The record is from Rfam by way of RNAcentral. Lineage: Bacteria; Bacillati; Bacillota; Clostridia; Lachnospirales; Lachnospiraceae.